UACGUAGGGGGCAAGCGUUGUCCGGAAUUAUUGGGCGUAAAGAGCUCGUAGGCGGUCCGUCACGUCGGAUGUGAAAUUCCAGGGCUCAACCCUGGACCUGCAUUCGAUACGGGCGGACUAGAGUUCGGUAGGGGAGACUGGAAUUCCUGGUGUAGCGGUGAAAUGCGCAGAUAUCAGGAGGAACACCGGUGGCGAAGGCGGGUCUCUGGGCCGAUACUGACGCUGAGGAGCGAAAGCGUGGGGAGCGAACAGG
This 253-nucleotide ribosomal RNA is filed under the name uncultured bacterium. Its description in RNAcentral is "partial 16S ribosomal RNA". It matches the Rfam family "Bacterial small subunit ribosomal RNA", at positions 524 to 776 of the family's 1533-position model. The record is from RNAcentral.